This 429-nucleotide ribosomal RNA is filed under the name Gemmatimonadota bacterium. Its description in RNAcentral is "Gemmatimonadetes bacterium partial 16S ribosomal RNA". It matches the Rfam family "Bacterial small subunit ribosomal RNA", at positions 355 to 776 of the family's 1533-position model. Lineage: Bacteria; Pseudomonadati; Gemmatimonadota. The record is from RNAcentral.
UAGGGAAUCUUCUGCAAUGGACGAAAGUCUGACCGAGCAACGCAGCGUGAGUGAAGAAGGUUUUCGGAUCGUAAAACUCUGUUGUUAGAGAAGAACAAGGACGUUAGCAACUGAACGUCCCCUGACGGUAUCUAACCAGAAAGCCACGGCUAACAAUGUGCCAGCAGCCGCGGUAAUACGUAGGUGGUAAGCGUUGUCCGGACUUAUUGGGCGUAAAGCGAGCGCAGGCGGUUUCUUAAGUGUGAUGUGAAAGCCCCCGGCUCAACCGGGGAGGGUCAUUGGACACUGGGAGACUGGAGUGCAGGAGAGGGGAGUGGAGUUCCAUGUGUGGCGGUAAAUAGCGUAGAUGUAUGGAGGAACAGGAGUGGCGAGAGCGGCUGUCUAAUCUGUAACUGGCGCUGAGACUGGAAGGCGUGGAGAGCAAACAAG